RNAcentral lists this Y RNA (103 nucleotides) under Prolemur simus (greater bamboo lemur). RNAcentral describes it as "Y RNA (ENSPSMG00000021849.1)". It matches the Rfam family "Y RNA". Rfam says of the family: Y RNAs are components of the Ro ribonucleoprotein particle (Ro RNP), in association with Ro60 and La proteins. The Y RNAs and Ro60 and La proteins are well conserved, but the function of the Ro RNP is not known. In humans the RNA component can be one of four small RNAs -- hY1, hY3, hY4 and hY5. The record is from Rfam by way of RNAcentral. Lineage: Eukaryota; Metazoa; Chordata; Mammalia; Primates; Lemuridae.
GGCUGGUCCAAGUGUAGUGGUGUCCACAGCUAAAUUGAUCACAGCUAGUUACAGAUUUCUUUGUUCCUUCUCCACCCUCCUUGCUUCACUUGACUAGCCUUAC